RNAcentral lists this ribosomal RNA (253 nucleotides) under uncultured bacterium. Its description in RNAcentral is "partial 16S ribosomal RNA". It matches the Rfam family "Bacterial small subunit ribosomal RNA", at positions 524 to 776 of the family's 1533-position model. The record is from RNAcentral.
UACAGAGGGGGCAAGCGUUGUUCGGAAUUACUGGGCGUAAAGGGCGCGUAGGCGGCCUGCUAAGUCGAACGUGAAAUCCCCGGGCUCAACCCGGGAACUGCGUCCGAUACUGGUAGGCUUGAAUUCGGGAGAUGGAUGCGGAAUUCCAGGUGUAGCGGUGAAAUGCGUAGAUAUCAGGAGGAACACCAAUGGCGAAGGCAGCUCGCUGGAACGGUACUGACGCUGAGGCGCGAAAGCGUGGGGAGCAAACAGG